This 497-nucleotide ribosomal RNA is filed under the name uncultured bacterium. RNAcentral's name for it is "partial 16S ribosomal RNA". It matches the Rfam family "Bacterial small subunit ribosomal RNA", at positions 28 to 507 of the family's 1533-position model. The record is from RNAcentral.
GACGAACGCUGGCGGCGUGCCUAAUACAUGCAAGUUGAGCGCUGAAGAAUGAUACAUGAACCAAAAAGAAAAGAAGAAACCAAAUGAGUCACGCGUGGGGCAACUAACUUUGAGCGGGGGACAACAUUUGGAAACGAAUGCUAAUACCGCAUAAAAACUUUAAACACAAGUUUUAAGUUUGAAAGAUGCAAUUGCAUCACUCAAAGAUGAUCCCGCGUUGUAUUAGCUAGUUGGUGAGGUAAAGGCUCACCAAGGCGAUGAUACAUAGCCGACCUGAGAGGGUGAUCGGCCACAUUGGGACUGAGACACGGCCCAAACUCCUACGGGAGGCAGCAGUAGGGAAUCUUCGGCAAUGGACGAAAGUCUGACCGAGCAACGCCGCGUGAGUGAAGAAGGUUUUCGGAUCGUAAAACUCUGUUGGAAGAGAAUAACGUUGGUGAGAGUGGAAAGCUCAUCAAGUGACGGUAACUACCCAGAAAGGGACGGCUAACUACGUG